This 320-nucleotide long non-coding RNA is filed under the name Vombatus ursinus (common wombat). RNAcentral's name for it is "lncRNA (ENSVURG00010024270.1)". The record is from RNAcentral. Lineage: Eukaryota; Metazoa; Chordata; Mammalia; Diprotodontia; Vombatidae.
GCGGCACCGGCGCGGCGGCGGGAGAUGCGCAGCGGCCGCGCUCCGCUGUACGAGGAGCAGCCCGACUGGACGCAGGGCCCCGAGGCAGAAGCCUUCUCUUCUUCUUGGGACUCAAGGCAGAAGACAUAUGGAUGGCAUGGAUGAGCCGCAAUCCGCGUGGGUGGAGCGCACAGUCCGUUGGGUCAUUAGAGUCUUAGGCAAAUGCCAGUGUUGUUACUCUGUCUUCCGAGGAUUCUGCAAAUGUCAAUGAUGAUUUUGUUUUGAAAAACAGGAUGUACAAAGUUAGCAGUGAAUCUAAUAAAAAUGAGCUUGCUUCUGCA